GCAUUCUUCCUCGUCGUCUCUCUCUCUCUCCUUCGCGUAUACGUCAUUCGCGCAUUUGUAUCACAUCACGACGACGGUGAUCCCGCAGUUUUGACGCGACGCGUCGUCAUGUGUCCUGGCGUCGCAGAUGAUCGGCUGUGACGAUUCGAAUUUUUCGGAGCACACAAGACCCCGGAUCGGGGCGCCGCGCUCCACUCUUGCAUCGGUGCGUUUGUUUUGACAUGUGUGUAGGCUGCCAUAUUGGAUUACCGCAUCGCUGCUGUUGCUGUCGCCGUCGUGCUCGUUGUCACCGUCGUCGUCAUCGUCACCACCGCUGCGGAGCACCCGGGCGUGAGGCACGACUUUCGCGCUAAAAAAAAGAACGAUCUAUUUGUGGAGCAGACAUGGAACCUAUCACAACGAUUGUGUGGCACAGUUAAGCGCGGGUGGUUGAUGCCUGAUGGCGCGGGCUGGAACGCAACGCUGGAGAAAUCCUGCUCCAGA
Cyphomyrmex costatus is the source of this 483-nucleotide long non-coding RNA. RefSeq lists it as uncharacterized. The record is from RefSeq and is a predicted model, not a curated record. The transcript is spliced from 3 exons. Lineage: Eukaryota; Metazoa; Arthropoda; Insecta; Hymenoptera; Formicidae.